This 478-nucleotide ribosomal RNA is filed under the name uncultured bacterium. RNAcentral describes it as "partial 16S ribosomal RNA". It matches the Rfam family "Bacterial small subunit ribosomal RNA", at positions 30 to 507 of the family's 1533-position model. The record is from RNAcentral.
CAUGAACGCUGGCGGCGUGCCUAACACAUGCAAGUCGAACGGAGUCCAGCCUUUAAGACCUUCGGGUCAAAGAGGGGAAGACUGAGUGGCGGACGGGUGAGUAACACGUGGGCAACCUGGCUCAUAGAGGGGGAUAACAGAGAGAAAUUUCUGCUAAUACCGCAUAAGCACACACUGCCGCAUGGCAGAGGGUGAAAAGAGAAUCGCUAUGAGAUGGACCCGCGUCUGAUUAGCCAGUUGGCAGGGUAAGAGCCUACCAAAGCGACGAUCAGUAGCCGAUCUGAGAGGAUGAACGGCCACAUUGGGACUGAGACACGGCCCAAACUCCUACGGGAGGCAGCAGUGGGGGAUAUUGCACAAUGGGGGGAACCCUGAUGCAGCGACGCCGCGUGAGUGAAGAAGUAUUUCGGUAUGUAAAGCUCUAUCAGCAGGGAAGAUAAUGACAGUACCUGAAUAAGAAGCCCCGGCUAACUACGUG